UGGCGAACGGGUGAGUAACACGUGGGUAACCUGCCCAUCAGAAGGGGAUAACACUUGGAAACAGGUGCUAAUACCGUAUAACACUAUUUUCCGCAUGGAAGAAAGUUGAAAGGCGCUUUUGCGUCACUGAUGGAUGGACCCGCGGUGCAUUAGCUAGUUGGUGAGGUAACGGCUCACCAAGGCAACGAUGCAUAGCCGACCUGAGAGGGUGAUCGGCCACACUGGGACUGAGACACGGCCCAGACUCCUACGGGAGGCAGCAGUAGGGAAUCUUCGGCAAUGGACGAAAGUCUGACCGAGCAAACGCCGCGUGAGUGAAGAAAGGUUUUCGGAUCGUAAAAACUUCUGGUGGU
Molecule: ribosomal RNA, 353 nt
Filed under: Enterococcus casseliflavus
Lineage: Bacteria; Bacillati; Bacillota; Bacilli; Lactobacillales; Enterococcaceae
Description: bacterial SSU rRNA
Rfam family: Bacterial small subunit ribosomal RNA
Source: RNAcentral